RNAcentral lists this non-coding RNA (30 nucleotides) under Mus musculus (house mouse). The record is from RNAcentral. Lineage: Eukaryota; Metazoa; Chordata; Mammalia; Rodentia; Muridae.
UCAGAUUGGAAGUGUUAAGAACUGAGUGGA